RNAcentral lists this ribosomal RNA (253 nucleotides) under uncultured bacterium. RNAcentral's name for it is "partial 16S ribosomal RNA". It matches the Rfam family "Bacterial small subunit ribosomal RNA", at positions 524 to 776 of the family's 1533-position model. The record is from RNAcentral.
CACGUAGGGCGCAAGCGUUGUCCGGAAUUAUUGGGCGUAAAGGGCUCGUAGGCGGCCAACUAAGUCAGACGUGAAAUCCCUCGGCUUAACCGGGGAACUGCGUCUGAUACUGGAUGGCUAGAGGUUGGGAGAGGGAUGCGGAAUUCCAGGUGUAGCGGUGAAAUGCGUAGAUAUCUGGAGGAACACCGGUGGCGAAGGCGGUCUGCUGGGCAGUGGCUGACGCUGAGGCGCGACAGCGUGGGGAGCAAACAGG